This 17476-nucleotide long non-coding RNA is filed under the name Xyrichtys novacula (pearly razorfish). The record is from RNAcentral. Lineage: Eukaryota; Metazoa; Chordata; Actinopteri; Labriformes; Labridae.
CUUAAAGGUUGGGGGCAAGGAAAGUGAGCAUGUCAACUCGGUUGGGCUUGAGGCAUGACCUCUUGCAGGUAACAAUGUUACCGCUGGUGCUGAAGGCCCAUUCAGAUGAAGCACUGGUCACGGGAAUACACAGAUAUUUCUUUGCAAGCUUGGCUACACGAGGGAAGUUCAUCCCAUGCAGUUUCCACCAUUCCAGAGGGUCGGCCUCUGAGUCAGGCUCAGGAGCCCGCAGGUACAUAUUCAGCUUCAUCUCGAUUUGCAUCCUGCUGGGGGCAGUGCCAUGGCCUGGUGCAGGUGUCUUCUUGAAGUAGCUUGCAAGACUCUUCCUUACCUUCAUUGCUGGAAGGAGAGGCUGUGGAUCAUCCUCUUCCUUUAUAGCAGCAGCAGCUGGUGGAGGUGAGGGGGCUGCUGCUGUAGGUGCAUGUUCAGAUCUCACCAUGUCCUCCAUCUCUGUAGCAGCACAAGCCUUGAUCAGCUCCACCCUCUCUGCAUCCCGGAUGUAGGCCGUCUUGAAGCGCGGGUUGACCAGUGUGGCUAUGUCGAGGAGGUCGUCGGUGGUAGGGUCAUCAUAUUUCUCGUUCAGGUACUGAAGGAUGGCCUCACGGAUGGCCUCUGUCAGCUCUGGGUCAUCCUGCCUUUUGAGUACCUCAGUGUUAAAGAGAUGGAUGACGGGCUUCAGGAAGGAGAUGCUGACGUCCCCCGACAAGGCAUCAGUGAACUCCAUAAGAGGAGCCAGGGCCUUGUUCAUGCUCUCAAGGAGGGAAAUAUCUUGCCAGCUUGGCACCAGGUGUCUCUUCUGUGUCAGAGAAUAAAGGAAAGGGGCUGUUUAAUGAGGUGAAUUAUUGCUGUGUGUCUGUGUCUGUGUGUGUGCUUGUGUGUACAGUUGAGGAACUGUAGAGUGUGUGUGUGUGUGUGUGUGUGUGUGUGUGUGUGUACAGUGGAAAAUAAGCUGUGAUACACUUGGAUUAGCUGACUCACCUUCUUGUCCGCACGGAGGACUUGGGACAGAGCGCUCUCCUGCUCUAGAAACCUCUUGAUCAUUGAAACGCGUGAACCCUAUCUUGUAGGAGACUCGGUGAUGAGCUCAUGGAAAGGCAAGCCCAGGGCCUCCUGAGCCUUGUGGAGCUCCCUCCUUUUCUUGGGUGAGUUAGAUAAGGUACUGACGACCUUCUUACACAUCCCCACAGCCUGUUCGACAGCGUUCUUUUGUGCUUGUGGUAAAGCUCUCAGAGCGGCCUCUGUUUAGAUAUAAGGGGAAAGAACAUAGCUAAUCAUUAUGUUUUGAUAGCAAUUUUGAACAUUUUAGGUAUUUUAACUUGAUCAUGUAUUUAUGCAUCUUAUUAUUAUAUUUAAUGACAUUACACAUUUAUGCUGUAUUUAAAUACUCAAUGCAUACAUUUAAAUGAAUUAACUAUUUGAUCUGCAGACUAAAGUAACAAUUAUAAGUCACAUCCAAUACAGGUGAAUUAAGAUGAGUAUGACUUGUUCAAUAUAGGCUAGACCUAACCAAACAACACACAAGAAAACCAAACUUAAUUCCAAAUCACUAAUAUUGUAGCUUUUGUUGUUGUUGUAAUAUAUCCCAUUACAAUAUUAGACUGGGCUGUGUUGUGUUCCUCACCAAUGGCUAACUGGAGACGGUGACCAAAGCACUGAAGACUUAGCAAAUCAUUGAUCUGCGCUGUGGUGAUGUUAUUGGCAGCAUCGUCUGUGGUGAUAGAGACGAGGUCGGUCUCCUCCAGUCCCCAUGACUCCAGUGCAUCACUCAAAGCUAGAGCAGCUGAAUGAAUGCUAUCAGGGUUCACUGCCACACACAUAGCCACAUAAACCCUAACACUACACAAAGCCUGACAGGACAGUUUAAAUAAUAAACGGGAUACUGCAUGCAAAGGUACAUCCUUACACUCUAUUCGGAGGUAUGUUAGAAAAACGACACAAGAAACAUGGAUAAAGACAGCAAUAAUAACGUUACCUGCCACACAUACCUUGGGCUAUCGUGGCUCCCGUGUGAUCCUCUGGGAAAUAAGAAGGCAGCGAGAGCACAGGUUCCAGUCCCGGUCAAUGAAGUGGAUAGUGAGAGACAUGUAGGACUGGGUCACUCGGCUCGUCCAAAGGUCAGUUGUCAAGGCGCAAAAACACGCAUUGCGGAUCUCUUUGGCCCCGGUCUCUCGGUACAAACAAGGCAGCUCGAUUCGAGUGAAGUACUUCCAACUUGGCGCGAUAUAUCUGGGGUCUAGCGUUUUGAUGAGGUCUUUGAAUGCCUUCUUUUCCACCAAGUACACCGGGACCAUACCUUUAACAAUGAGGCGUGCAAUGGCGUCUGUUAUUUGUUGGUAAAUGCAGGACGUUUUCUUGUAGGGUUUGUUUCGUACCAGAGCGUCUUGAAUUUUUGGUUGAUUGGGUUUAGCGCUGCUAGCAUUGAUUGGUGUGACUCUUGCCUUUUGGGUCUCAGUGUACUCCUUCUCGUGGUGUUUUCUGAGGUGGUAGAAUAAGUUGGUUGUGUUAGCGUUGGGCGAUGGAACACUUUUCUUGCAUACUUUGCAUAUGACCGUUUUCUGCUCUGAAUCCGUCGCUUUGAAACCAAGAUAAAGCCAGACUGAAGAGCUACCCCCUUGUUUGGGUAGGAGUUUGUCCUGGGAUGCCGUCUCUGCUGAUUGUGGGGGUUCAAUUUCUUUUUUCGCCAGCGUAUUGCCUACCCCUCCUGUCUCCAUGUUUACUUACAAUGAUCCCCUCACAUGUGUAACCCAGGUAACCCGCAACGGCUGGAGACGCUGGACACAAAGAGGGCACGCAAAGCGGUGUCAUGUCGCAAAAUCGAAAGAGAAAUGCCAGCUUCCAUGUCAACGCAUCCUUUCCUUUGUAAGGAAAUAUUGUUUUUUUUCCCGUUUGACACCAAAUGCACUUACUGAAUGUGCAAUUAUUGUUGUUGUUACUAUGAAUCAUCUGAUGGCACAAGCCCUAUGGAUAAAAUACAGCCUAUCGCUUCAAACGAUAAAAAUAGAAAUGGCAUGGGAGUUGAUUCCAUCUUUAACCCAAAAGGUCCAGCUAGCUCAUCUUGCUGGUGUCUGAUUCGAAGUGGAGCUCUGUGCCCAUUACUGAUCCAGGCACGGGUCCAUCCAUCUGGUCCGUCAAGAGUCACUCUCAUCCCAUCAGUCCAUAAAACCUUUGAAAAAUCUCUCUACAGAUAUUUCUUGGCCCAGUCUUGACGUUUCAACUUGUGUCUUGUUCAGUGGUGGUCAGGUUUCAGCCUUCCUUACCUUGGCCAUGUCUCUGAGCACUGAUCAUCUUGUACCUCUGGGCACUCCAGGUAGGUUGCAGUUCUGGAAUAUGACGGCACCGGAGGAUAAGCGAUUCCUGGUAGCUUUACGUUUGAGUCUUCUCAAAUCUUUGGCAGUUAAUUUGCGUUUUUUUUUUCUUAACACAUUUCUUGCGACCCUGUUGACUAUUUGCAUCAAAAUGUUUGCUGAUUUUGUGAUCACGCCCAAAUAUCUAUGCAAUUUCAAGAGUGCUGCAUCCCUCUGAAAGACUUUUUACAUUUUUUGACUUUUCGGAGUCACUUAAAUCUCUUUUUUGGCCCAUUUUACCUGAGGAAAAAAGAAGCUGCCUAAUAAUUAUGCACACCUUGAUAUAGGGUUUUGAUCUCCUUAGGCCCCAGCCUCCCUCAUUACACUAAUACACAUUACCUGAUAUGCUUAUAUCCAAUAAACAUUCAAGUUUAUAUAGCUUGGAGUUGGAAAAUAUGCAUAAAAAUGAUGAUAUGAUCAAAAUACUCACUUGCCUAAUAAUUGUGCACACAGUGUAGAGAUUAGUUCAACAUUUUAUUAACAUACAAAGUAAAUAACAAAGCAAAUUCAAUAAACGCAUCACUCUCGCAUAUCUCGCGUUUGUUUUCCUUUCAUUGAAGUGUUCAUUUUCCAACAACCACUGCUUAAAUAUAGUUCACAGCUGAAACCGACCUGAGUCAUCCCAAACUGUAAAGUAAAAGUAUCAAUCCAGUGUCUGUGAGGCUCAGCAGAAACACAGUACGAUCUCCGGUUGUCUGGAAACUUUGGACAAAUAUAGUGAUCCGAUUUAUGAAUGAAUGCUGACCAUGUUACGAGAAAUUCCCGGGAGAAAUGACAAUUCAGGGGGUGGGCGGGAGAUAGGUCUGAAAUACGGGAGAGUCUUGGGAAAAACGGGAGUGUUGGCAGGUACGGAUAUGAUUGAUCGCUGUUUUGGUCUAGUGGCUGCACCGCUAGUUGUAGCUAAACUGCUAAUGCUACUUGUGCCGUCAGCAGUGACAGGCUGUGCUGACUCUGCUUGCAUUUUCAUGCUUCCCGCAUAAUCACUCGGGAAGACCAGAUUUGUUAUGUUGCCGGUUUAUCUGCUUAAUUGCUCGACGUCACUUUGGAGAGACAUUGAAUAACUUCUCAACAAUACCAUCUUCAGAGGAUGACUCAAAGUCACGGUUCACAUCUAUUUUGCUGCCCUCAGCUCCGCGUUUAGCUCCAUGUUCGGUCAUUCUGUUUAUUUCUCCUUACUUCUCCGGUAACUUACAGAACUGAGCAGGAAAGCUCGACUCUGAUUGGCUGUUGUGACGCACAUUUCUGCCAUGUUUGAUCGAGUAAAUAUGCUUGCAGCUGAUCACCGUGAUCGAACUGAAAUUUAUCGCGAUCAUCGAUCACGAUCAUAUAAUCGCCUAGUCCUACUUUGCACUGUAGCGACUGGAACUUGAAAACAUUUAGGUAUGGCCUUAUAGGCCUUUCCUGACCUUGAGCAGCCACAAUGCGCAGCCGCAGGUCCUCAGUGAGCUCCUUUGUCUUAGUCAUGACUGUCCAAAACCCAACUGCAGAGAGCUGUUUUUCACCUGUUAAGUUGAUCAAAACAGCUGUUUCCAGGGUAAUUAGGAUGCUUUAGAACAGCUUGGACUAUUUGGAAUGGUAUAGAACUUUGGACUCUCCCAUAGACAGAGACAGUUUGCAAAGGGUAUGAACAAUUUUGGACAUGCCACUUUUUGUUCAAAUGUAAAUAAAAGCUUUGAAAUAUUUCUUUCAACAAUGAUGCCUCUUGUACAUCAUCUUAUUAUCUUCUGGGAGAUGCCUGUGUCAUUUCCAAUUAAUAAAAAACUUGCUAGUUGAAUAAAAGUGAAUUUAAGUCAAAAUUUGCCAGGAGUAUGAAAAAUUUGGGGCUUGACUGUAUAUAAAGAUAUGUGUGUGUGUGUGUGUGUGUGUGCGCGUGUGUGUGUGUUUAUAUAUUUAUAUAUUUAUAUAUGUGUAUAUAUAUACACCUUUACAUAUAUUUACAUAUACAUUUACAUAAAUAUAUAUAUAUUUAUAUAUAUAUAUAUUUAUAAUUUCUUUGGUUGGUUGGUUUGGUUGAUAAUUUCAUUUAUUCAGUUUUUGUUUUGUGCGUUUGCUCUGUCGCAUUAUUCUUUUUACUUUAAUUAGUCACUAUUAUUACUUACUACAUAGGGAUACACACACACACACACACACACACAAAGUUAAACUGUUACUCUAGCUUGUGUUUAUCUUGUCUCUCCUCCCCAUCUUUCUCACAUGUGUGCCAACAAGUCUGAGUUCUUAUUCAGAGUGAGAUUUUACAAAAACGAGGGAAUCACAGACGACUACAGCUUGACUGACUGACGGGCAUGAAAAUCAGAAAACAGCAGAAAUCCAAACGCUCAUCCACACUCUUCUCCUCCUCCUUAAACAAGAUCCCACCUGUCUGCAGGACUAACCUGAACACAGGUUCAGGUCCAGUGUAUCACCGCGGCCCGUUCAUCCAUUCAUAUUCUAAUAGAACUGUCCUCUUUAUAUGAAAGCACAGAUGACUCAUGAACAUGCCUGUAAUUAUACUUCAUUACUCAGAUAUGGACCAUCAGAGGUUUGAACCUCUGCCUCCAGAAAACAGAAAUGCUGUCGUCACGCAGCAGUAGCAGCAGCAGCAGCAGCUGAAGACGACUAUAAAAGGACUUCCUCUUCCUCCUCUCUGAUCUCCUCUGUGUCUCUCUGAGGAACCCCCCCCCCCCCCCCCCCCCACACACACACACACACACACACACACACACACGCACACACACAAACAAACACACACACACACACUGUCUUCUGUUUCUUCCUCUUCCAUCAGAAGAUCAGGUGAGAAAGUCUCAAGGCAAAGGAUGUUUGUUAUCGACCUUAAAUGUUCCUCUGUAAACACACACGAGUGUGUGUGUGUGUGUGUGUGUGUUUGCUGCAUCAGACGAUCAUAAAAGUUUAAGGAGUAAAUCUUCAUCCUCAAAGGGUAAAGGUCAUUUUUAAGGUUUCCAGCUGACGGGGUUCAGAACUGUCCAGGACUGCAGUCUGACUUUUCACAAACAUAAAUAUGAGCAGCUGAAGGAAGAACCAUGAGUCUGCAGACUUAUUGGACCAAGGCCAGGGACCCGUGGCAGCCAUGUACAUGUCAUCGAUUGUCAGUAUAUCUUUGCUCUAAGAGGGCAUUCAGUGUUGUUCAGAGAAAUUCAGAAAUACAAACUUGAUGCAACAAGUGCCCCCUGCAGGCCUGGAGGACUCACAUAUGAAAGCCUGAGUGUGCAACAUUUCUUCUUCUGCAGUUUCAUUUGUAUCAGUGAAUCAUUUGUACUAUACUUUAAAGUUGUAUUUGCACAUAACUCCAGUGCUCUCUUCUCUACACUGGCUUCCAGUUAGGCACAGGAUCGUUUUUAAGAUUCUUUUAUUUGUUUUUAAAUCUCUGAAUGGGCUGGCCCUGGAGUACCUGGCUGACCUUGUUAAGCUACACCAACCCUCCAGAGCCCUUAGGUCUGCUGACCGAGUCGUUUUAGACGUGCCUCGUUCGUUUUUAAAAUCCAGAGGGGCGCGAGUGUUUGCGGUUACAGCUCCCACUUUGUGGAAUGCACUACCCCUAAGUGUGCGCACUGCAAAUAGUCUCUCUACUUUUAAAACCCAACUGAAGACGCACUUGUUCACCUUAACUUUUGACGGAGUAUGAUACUUGUAUUGGUUAUAUAUUUGUUUUUAUUUACAUUUAUCUGUUACAUGUCUUUUGUUGCUGCUGUUUGUUGUGUAUGACUUGCUUUUAUUGCUACUGCUUCGUUAUUGUAAAGCACUUUGGUAGGCCACUGGCUGUUUAAAUGUGCUAUACAAAUAAAAUUGACAUUUACAUUGACAUGUCUGUCUUUGUGUCUGCUUGUAGAGACCACACAACCCUAAGUACAAUUAAAUUACACAUGCACGCAUUCGUGGAAGAUUGAAGGGCCUACAAACUGGAUUUUCAUCAUUUUUACCUUUAAAUUAGGGCUGGGCGAUAUGUGGAAGAGUUUAUCACAAUAUAUUAUUUCAUAUCAGUUAAUAUAGAUAUGCAUCACGAUAAAAAAAUGAAAUUUAACAGUGUUUAUUGGUCGCAUGUCUUUUCCAAUACAAUAAUCUCCUGCAUCUUUGCGGUCUCUGUGUCUCUUUGACGUUUUGUCGUAAGGCGUUGCUCUAGAGAAAGUGGACUGAAUGAUCGGCUGUUUCAGGCGCCAUGGGCUCCUUGCUCCUCUCUGGGUUUGUAACCUUUUGCGUUGCACGUGCUCUGCUUCAAGUGGUGAAAAAGAUUUGAGGUAUUCCCCGACUUUGUGAGAACAUGUACUCGACAUCAUUUGCAGUACACAUUACUCUGCUUUAUGUCCAACCUCAAAAAAACAAAAUACCUCCACAUCACCAACGUUUUUGUGCCAGUGUUGUCGACGAUGUCUUCAUCCGUUGAGCCUUCAUGGUCAUUUCUGUCAGGGGUAGCACUCAUUUUCUUUUUUUCUCACCAACAGUGCUAUCGGCUUCACCUGUUAAAGUGCUAUGGUUGGGUGUAGCUGCUGUCUGCUACAACACAGUUGUUCGCUACUUGGUUCUAAUUCAGCACAUGAUUGGUUCAGCGUGAAGUGGACCUUCAGCAACUCCCCUUUUCAUUGGUUAUUCGUAUAGUCAACCAAAACAUGGCAGAAUGCCGAUUAUCGAAAAGGAUAUUGACCAUGUUUUAUAUAUUGAUAUUGAGAGAAAUUGAUUGUCGAUAUAUAUCGUUAUUGUUUUAUCGCCCAGCCCUACUUUAGAUAAAACCUGUUUUUGCAUUUUAAUUAGACAUGCAGACUGAGGUCUGGAAAUCCUCUACUGUGUUUAAGCUGUUGUCCAGGAGAUCUCGGUUAAUUCAGUGAGAUGUUCCAGCUUCACGCUCCGCAUACUUUCUUCAGAUAAACUCACAUUUAGUCUCUAUUAUCAUAUAACAGACACUGGAGCUAAUUAAAGGGGAAGCGCUGUGGUUCGUUGUUUGUGAAAAAUCGUCUUUGUCAGAAUUAUGGGAAGAACGUCGGUCAUGUGGGCUGAACAGACUCAGUAACCGUUGAGAUGAUAUUUGUAUGAAACAGGGCCAAGAGCAGAGAUGGAAUCAGAUGGGGAACAUGUGAGCGCUCUGUUCAUUAAAGUGUCCAAUCAGAAUGAAGAUGAGGAGGAGCGGCAGACCUCAGGAGGAGUUGCGACAGCCUAAACUCCUCUAAUGAGAGGAGAGAGCAGUGAUUAGACUAAUAGGUGAUCUGUCCACUUAAUGCAAAUCAAUCCACUCACAUGUCAAUGAGCCGCCCAUGAAACGCCGCUUUCAGGCAGGCUGAGCAGACCUCCACUCAUCCUCCUCCUCCUCCUCCUCCUCCUCCUUCUCCUCCUCCUCAGUGCUAACAAACAGCCUGCAGCAGCGCUCUGAAGCUCAUUUAUCAGGGAACAAACCAGUACUUAUCAGCCAAACUGAGACAUCUGCUCCCAUGGAAAACUGUCAGGAGGGUCUGCGAAAGAGACGCUCUAAUCAUGACCGUUGGAGGGGAGCAAGGAAGUGGAAUAAAUACUCAUCAUGUGCUGAGAAGAAGACUGCACAGAAAAAAAACCUGCAGAUUUUAAAAAAGAGAGAAAUGGAGAGAGAGGGAGAGUUUCUACUGCUGAAGAAGAAGGGAAUAACAUCUCCUGAUCUGCGGACAUUUUCUGUCUGUAAACACAGUCUGUGUAUAUGUGCUGGAAAAAAGUUUGUUUUAAUCAUGCAGAAAAACGGCUGAUUCAUCCCUGAAUGCUGAAUCUUCCUUCUUCUGAUCAUUGGGAGUUACACCCUGGAUCCAAAAGCCCAAGGUUCCUAACCCCCAAUUUCCACCGCAUUCAAAACGGCUCAGAUUUUCGCCAUCCACCAAUUGCUACCAGGUCCAUUUGUGAGGCAAAUUUCGUGGUGGAUUACAGACAGCAGGAAUCACAAGAACUCACAAGAACCCGCAAAUUUCCGUGCAAUCACGUGAUAACAAGUUGUCUCUAUAAAGACAGCAACAUAGACAUAUAAGCAGUAGAUUGUGUCCUUCCAGAGGAGGAAAUCUACUUCUAGACUUCUAGAAUCAGCAUCUCCUCAUCCAUGGUGUCAUCGGGGUGAAAUGAUGUCUAAAAACCUUUCACUUGUUCGUCUCCGUCAGUUUGCAUGGUGUGAAAUACGAUCCUCCUGAAACACGGAGUGUUUUAUUUUGAAAAGAAGCCGGAUGUUUUAUUUUGUGUCUGUGCCCGACUUCCUUUCCAGCACAGGUUAAUCUGUGCUGAAUUUAUCCGGCAUGCUCCGGCAUCCGCAAAAAAUAGAACUCUUGUGAUCAGCUGCGGAGUCUGGCGAUCCGCAGAAGAACGCAAAGAAGCCGGUGGAAAUUGACAUGUUAACUUGAAUGGUUACGAUCAGCUACGAUCGGAGGAUACCGACUUUUCGCAGACGUUCAGGUUGUGGUGGAAAUUGGGGGUAAUGCAGCUCAAAGGAGAGAGGACCAAGGAGAGGGGAGAGACAUCAGAGGAGCGAGAACCGAGAAUACAUGAGAGUGGCCCUCACAGGAGUCUCUGACUGACUGGUAGACCUCUGAAUCCAGUAUCACUCUCUGCCUGGGCGGUACAACUUCACCAAACUUCGAUCAGCUGAUCCAGAGAUGAUCAGCUGAUGAUGAGCUGCCCCAACCAAAAGUCCCCUGACUGAAUCUUAGAAAUCGUGAACAUCAGUGAUGUGUGAACCUUGAAAGAGUCUCCUCAAAACCCACCUGUGACAUUUAACUUCACUGAGGGACGCUGAAGCCGCCUCAGCCAAUCAGAGGCUCUAAUGACACUGAUGAAGAUUAACCGCCAUCAAUUGCUGAGAUUUUUUUUGAACAUUUUUUAAAAAAUCUGACAUUAAAGUUCUUCUGAUUAUAAAGUCCUGGGGCCUCAUGUAUCAAUACUUGCGUGGGACUCAUACCAGAAACGAGCGCACGCAAGGUCCGUCACGCUGAAAAAAAUCCGUAUGUAUCAAUGUGUGCGGGCGCCGAAAUCCACGUGUGUUUGCUUGAUAAAUCCCAAUCAGUGUGGGAUUGAGCGCAGAUGUCGGUGUGACUGGGCCCGCCCCCGUUACGCCCUCCUAUAAAUAUGCAGAUUUAUUUAAAUUGAGUCUCCUUGUCCUCGCACGCAGACAAAAUGACAAGAAAAACGAAAUUUAUGGCGUGCGAGGUGGAGGUGCUGGUGGCGGAGGUGGAGGAGCGACAGCGUGUUUUGUUUGGCAGCCUGUCCAGUGGCGUCAGUGCAAAAUGAAAACGCUUGGAGUGGGAGAAAGUUUGCAAGAGGGUGAACGCGGUGGGUUCCGAGACACGCACCCCCGCGGAGAUUAAAAAAAAGUGGUCGGACCUCAAGGUGGAGGUCAAGCGGCAUACAGCUGCCCUCCGGAGGAAUACCGGCCAGACAGGUGGGGGUCCGGGGGAGGAGACCCUCACGCCGUUCGAGCAGCGGGUGGUGGCGAUUAUUAUUACAGGGUAAGUGGCGUGUCACACAAAUGUCCACAUGCUUUGUCAUCCCACUGAGCAAAAGAUGUAUAUUAGACGUCUAGUCUAAGUUUAUACUUCAUUUCAACGUCGGGAUUCAGUCUAUUUUUAGACGUGAUUUAUACUUCGCCCUUAACUUCAUUUUUCGAUAACUUUUUAUGCAAUAAACAACUGUAAUGUGCAUAACUGACCUCUAAAUAGUGGAUUACAUUACCUAUGAUACCGUGGAGAGAGAUGAAAACGCAACAGAUACACAGAAGCAGGAAUUGAAAUGAACAAAUAUUUUUAUUGUGUCACAGAAAUCAAUGUGUCGGCCGGCUUGCGGAACCCAGCCCGCGGCAGCCCGUCCGCUGGCUCGGAGUCGUCGGCCAGGACCAGCGGCAUUCGGGCCACCCCGGCCCCAGCACCAGCAUCAGCACCAGUGCACUGACAAGCGGUGGAGCGUCCACCAGCCGCGAGGCUUCCGCUGGACCACCCGGACGCAGUGGAAGGGUCCUCACGGAGGCAGUCCUGCAAUCGCAGGAAGAAAUUAUCAGGGGGAUCGCGGGGAUCAACGAGCGGCUGGACCGGCUCAUAAAUGUCCUCGAGCGUCUGGUGGCGAAAAUAAAUUAAUUUGGCUCAUUGAACUGUGUAUUCACUUCUUACCCAUUCACCAUGUGGCGAUGAGAUUCUCCCGCGCGAGGACGGCGGCCUGGCAGGGAUCAGCUCGCAUCCCUCCGUCUGCUGCUGGUUCGUCAUGUGGGGCGACGUGCUGCUUGGCCACGGGGAUGUGGUGCACGCUUGUUACAUAGUGAGUCACCAAACACCGCUACACAGCGUCGCCAAAGUGCCGUCAACGCAAGUAUCGGCUCAACGCCAACUUCAACAACGCCAAUGCUCGUUUUGCGAUGAUAAAUCCGGAUGUGUGCGCCGAUUUUGGCGUACGCAAGGUUUUCUGGUGCCGCCAGCGUUGAUACAUAAGGACAAUCAGGAGGAGAAAUAAGAUGUAUUAAUGAGGAGGAGGAGGAAGAGGAGGAGGAGUGGAGGGGAGAGGAGGAGAGGAGAGGGGGAGGAGGAGAGGAGAGGAGGCAUGUUUGUGUGACAUGGUGGAGAGAGAGAGCAGAGUGUGUCCCGGCUUCGCAGAGACUCCGCCUCAGGCUGUGUGUGUGUUGUCCUCUCUCAGGUUGUGUGUGUGUGUGUGUUGUCCUCUCUUGGGUUGUGUGUGUAUAUGUGUGUUUGUGUUCCUGCUGUGAGUCUAUUAGCCGCUCCGCUCACAUCUCUAUCUUCACGCUGACGCUCCGUUCUCUCGCUCCACUGCUCCUCUCUUUACCUCCAUCUCCUUCGCCUGUCAUUAUUUCCUCCACGAUGACGUUGAGCAUCUAAGAGCGGGUGUGUGUGUUUGGAGUGGGGGCAGCAUCGCGGCCCCCAUGGACCCCCCAGCAGCCCCUGUGCUUAUGCUCAAUAGGGGGCGUUCUCUGGCUCCUUAUUAUUCCGACACUGUCGAUUCAGACGCUGGGUCGGCCGCUGUCAUCUCAUCUCGGUCACACCGCCUGGUUCUGACGCUCACACACUCUGACCGUGCUGACACAGCUGACACACUAAAGUCAUGGGUAAUGUGUGUGUGUGUCUGUGUGUUUGUGUUAGUGUGUGUGUGCAGAGAUGACAGCAGGCUCACUGUUUGAUGUGAUGUGCAGUGAGCUCAGCCAUGACAGCAGGAGGUACAAAGGCAUGUUGAGAGAGAGAGAGUGUGUGUGUGUGUGUGUCUGGAGCAGCUGAAGCGAUGCAGGUAUAUCUGAUGUUUUCUGUUGGUCUCAGACGGUUCCGACUAGAGAAUUUUACGCUGAAACGUUCAGAUCGUAGAAGUUUGAUCAAAGUAUAGGUGAGUUACUGAUCGGACUCCAUCACUGAGUUCAGAGGACUAGAGAUCAGGAGAUGAAGACACAGACACUAAGAGGCUGAAUUUUCUAUACUCUUUAAGUCCUUCAUCUCCAGAUAUCCUCCUCUAGAUCAGGAAUUACAGAUGUUAAAGAUCUGAAGCAUCUAGAUCUCUCCCAGAGAUUAUAUACAAACACAGCUGCUGAGUCAGCACUUAAAUCAUUAAGACUCAGAGUGAGAGUCUGGGGACCUCCCAGUCCUCCAACCAAAUGAAACUCACCUAGAGGACAUCAGAGCUCCACAAGUUGGCAAAGCUCCCUCAGGUUGGUCCAGUCCAUGUUUAAGUUCCCUAACGUGGGUCCGGUCCAUGUUAAAGCUUUCUCAGGUUGGUCCAGUCCAUGUUGAAGCUUUCGCAGGUUAAUCCAGUCCAUGUAAAGUUCCCGAAGGUAGGCCCAGUCCAUGUAAUGUUCCCUAAGGUUGGUCAAGUCCAUGUUAAAGUUCCCUAAGGUUGGUCCAGUCCAUGUAAAAGUUCCCUAAGGUUGAUCCAGUCCAUGUUAAAGCUUUCUCAGGUUGGUCCAAUCCAUGGUUAAGCUCCCUAAAGCUGAUCUAGUCUAUGUUAAAGUUCCCUAAAGAUAGUCCAGUCCAGGUCAAAGGUCCCUGAGGUUGUUCCAGUCUAUGUUAAAGUUGCCUUGGGUGGGCCGAGUCCAUGUUAAAGUUCUCUAAGAUUAGUCCAGUCCAUGUUGGAGUUCCCUCAGGUUGAUCUAGUCCAUGUAAAAGUUCCCUAUCGCGGGUCUAGUCCAUGUAAAAGUUCCCCAGGGUUGGUCCAGUCCAUGUAUAAGUUCCGUAAAUUGGGUCCAUUCCAUGUUAAAGUUCAAUAAGUUGGGUAUACUCCAUGUUAAAGUUCCCUCAGGUUGGUCCAGUCCAUGUUGGAGUUUACUCAGGUUGGUCCAGUCCAUGUAACAGUUCCCAAAGGUGGGUCCAGUCCAGGUCAAAGUUCCCUAAGGUUGGUCCAGUCCAUGUUUAAGUUACGGUGGAUCUAGUCCAUGCUAAAGUUCCCUAAGGUUGGUCCAGUCAAUGUUAAAGCUUCCUUAGGAUGGUGCAGUCCAUGUUAAAGUUCCCUAAGGUGGGUCAAGUCCAUGUUGAGGUUCCCAAAGGUCGGUCCAGUCCAUGUAACAGUUCCCAAUGGUUGGUCCAGACCAUGUUGGAGUUUCCUAAGGUUGGUCAAGUCUUUGUAACAGUUACGGUGGAUCUAGUCCAUGCUAAAGUUCCCUCAGUUGGGUCCAGUCCAUGUCCUCAGACAGCUCAUCCAAUCAUGGAUGCAGAAGCUCGGAGUCCAGGAGAAAGUCGGGACCGCCCUCUUGCCAUAGAACUCCAGAGAAGCUCAGCGUCCGAUGGGCGGGACAAAGCCCAGCAUUUAUCCAAUGAGCGUCUAGUUUCGCUGCUGGAACAACCCACUUUGAGCUUCCACAUAGAAGUCAGCAGAAGCUGGGCGUCCGGCUGUGUAAAGCGCUGAGGUGCUGCGAGGAUAAUUGAGAACGAAAUUGUGCAGAAUCAGUUUCUUAUCACACUGUGAUAAGAAGCUGAUUCUUAUCACAGUUGGUCCAGUCCAUGUAAAAGUUCUCCAAGUUUGGUCCAGUCCAUGCAAAGUUUCCUAAGGUGGGUCCAGUCCUGGUAAAAGUUCCCUAAAGUUGGUCCAGUCCAUGUAAAAGUUCCCUUAGGUUUGUCCAGUCCAUGUUAAAGUUCUGUAAGGUUUGUCCAUUCCAUACAAAAGUUCCCUAAGACUGGUCCAGUCUAUGUUAAAGUUCCCUAAGAUUGGUCCAGUCCAUGUAAAAGUUCUCUGAGGUUGGUCUAGUCCAUGUUAAAGCCUUCUCAGGUUGGUCCAGUCCAUGUUAAAUUUUCCUCAGGAUGAUCUAGUCCAUGUAAAAGUUUCCUAAGGUUGUUCCAGUCCAUGUAAAGGUUCCCUCAAGUUGGGUCCAGACCAUGUUAAAGUUUCCUCAGGUUGGUCCAGUCUAUGUAAAAGUUCCCUAAGGUGGUUCCGGUGCAUGUAACAGUGCCCUACGGUUGGUCCAGUCCAUGUUAAAGUUCCCUAAGGUUGGUCCAGUCCAUGUUUAAGUUCCCUAAGGUGGGUCCAGUCCAUGUUAAAGCUUUUUCAGGUUGGUCCAGUCCAUGGUAAUAUUCCAUAAGGUUGGUCCAGUCCAUGAUAAAGUUCCCUAAGGAGGGAGCACCGAGAGGGACAGGAAGAGACUGAAUAGACUGGUCAGGAGGGCCAGUUCUGUCCUGGACUGUUCUUUGGACUCCCUGGAGGAGGUGGGUGAGAGGAGGAUGUUAACAAAGCCUGUAUCCAUCAUGGACAAUCCCUCUUACCCACUGCAUCUGACUGUGGGGGCCUUAAGCAGCUCCUUCAGCAGCAGACUUAGACUUCCACCUUGCAGGACGGAGCGCUACCGCAGGUCUCUCCUUCCCUCUGCAAUAACACUUUACAACGAACUAUAAUAAUAACUGGAUUUACACACCACUUUUUUCUGGCAUUUAAAUUGUGUAUAUUGUAGUUAGUUUUAUUUUUCUCCUCCCUUUUUCCUUUUUCUAAAUUUUUCUUAAUUAUUACAUUUAUUUAAGUUCUUAAUAUUAGGAUCUUUAUUUUUAUAACUGCAUUUUUGCACUCUGUGUCUGUGAUGCUGCUGUGACAAAAAAAUUUCCCCCAUGGGGGAUCAAUAAAGGAAUAUUCUAUUCUAUUCUAUUCUAUUCUAUUCUAAAAGUUCCCUAGAGUUGGUCCAGUCCAUGUUUAAGUUCUCUUAGCUUUGUCCAGUCCAUGCUAAAGCUUUCUCAGGUUUGUCCAGUCCAUGUUAAUAUUCGAUAAGGAUGGUCCAGUCCAUGUUAAAGUUCCCUAAGGUGGGUCCAGUCCAUGUAAAAGUUCCCUAAGGUUGGUCCAGUCCAUGUUUAAGUUCUGUAAGGUUUGUCCAGUCCAUGUUACAGUUUCCUUAGGUGGGUCCAGUCCAUGUUAAAGCUUUCUCAGGUUGGUUCAGUCCAUGUCAAAGCUUCCUCAGGUUGGUCCAAUCCAUGUAAAGUUCCCUAAGGUGGGUCAAGUCCAUGUUAAAGCUUUCUCAGGUUGGUCCAGUCCAUGUCAAAGCUUCCUCAGGUUGGUCCAGUCCAUGUAAAAUUUCUUUAAGUUUGGUCCAGUCCAUGUUAAGUUCCCUAAGGUGGGUCCAGUCCAGGUUAAAGUUCCCUAAAGUUGGUCCACUUCAUGUUAAGGUUCCCUCAGGUGGGGCCACUUUCCAGCAGAACAUGGUCUUUAGUGGUUCUGAAGUAGACCCUCACAGAUCCAGAGAGUUCAGUGACUCCUGUGUAGGUCUUUGAUGGUUCCUCUCACAGCAUCUCUUCCUUUCUUAUUAUCUGAAGCUGCAGGAGCCUCAUUGGUCAGCAGAGCUGUCAAUCAUCAUCAUCAUCAUUACAGCUUUCUAGGAAUGUAGUUUUUUUUCAGUCUGCGCAAACAAACGAGAUUCAAGAAUUUAAACUAGUAAAAGAGACCAAGACUGUGUGUGUCUGUGUGUUUAAAUUUACAUGCAAAUUAUUAGGGGGGUGUUGUAUAAAUUCAAGAGACUGACAACACUUAAAAACACUUUUCAAUCAUGUGCCUCCACACUCUCUCCCUACCACACACACUCACACGGUCUGUGUGUGUAUGUUUGUGUGUGUGUGUGUGUGUGUGUGUGUGUGUCCUGCGUGCUGAUGAAAGGGAAUCUUUUUAAUUGCUUUUGUGUAAUUUGUGUUUUUCAUUUACGCUGAGACAAAGCGGUGGCGGUGGCGGUGGCGGUGGCGGUGGCGGUGGCGACGGAUGUUUUGGUGUGUAGGUGUGUUUCAGGAUUACAGCUCAUGUGGAAAAAAACAUUCAAAUCAAAAUUAAAAUUGACUCCAGUCUCCUCGGUUCUGUAGCGGGUGGAUAAAAACCUUUUUGUUUUUCUUUGUCGUCCUCUUAAACUCUGAUUCUCCUUUUUUUCGGACUCUAACAGAAGAACUUUUCCUUUCUUUCGUUCUCUCCUCCAGGUGUUCAGAUGUUCCUCUUUCUCAGCGGUGCUCAUGUGUAGUGUCUGUUUCUCUGUCUGUCUUUAGGCUUUAAACCAUUCGAUAAAACAUUCAUCCUGACACAAAGUCAGAGUGAAAGUUGAGAACGCUCUGUUUCUGAACACAACAAAUAAGCAUUGUGGACUUCCUGUCUCUGCCUCCUGAUCUUUUUUUCAUCGCACAGAGCCGUGAAGUUUUUAACCACAAUCGUGUUUCAUACAGAGAGAACUCACUCACCCUGAAAACUGAGUAUUUUUUAAACUGAUCAGAAUAUAAAAUCAUGUUAUUGUCAGACAGGUAUGUCCAGAUUAAAACUCUUAUUUUGUAAAGCCUUUGUUCAGCCUCUGUUCAGGUAAAAUCCAUGAAUUUGUAAGGGUACAAAUUAUGGGGUGCCAAAUAGAUCCAAGAGAAAGGACUGUACAGACCUUCAACGGAUCAGAUCAGAGCAGCAUGUGAUGACAUCAGACAACAGAAUAACCCCCAAUUGCCACCACAUCCAGAAUGGCUACGAAAAGGCCAUAUCCGCGGAUCAUAGCUGAUUGUAUCCAUUCAAGUUAAUGUGUCUAUUUCCACCGGCUUCUUUCCGUUCCUCUGCGGAUUGCCAGACUGAGAGCUGAGUCAGGUUCUCUUCAGAUCCAUGAUGAGGGUAGUGUUGUGUCGUUCAUGAACGAUUCGUUCAAAAAAACUGAACUGCUGAAUGAAUGACGUGAAUAGAAUCACUCUGAGACUUGAUUCGUUCCUUUCUCAGUUCAGCUGAGCUCAGCCGCGAGC